AUCUGGAGGGUCAGUUGCUGUCUCUCUCUUGAAUAAAGUAUAAUCUUCUACUCUUUCUACAUCUGAAGCUAUGGAGCUAUGGUGUCUGAAGAAGUGGCAGUCACAGCACGAGUGAAGCCAUCUCUGCAUGAGAGACUCUGCUACACACAGUUUUCAAGGCAUUUGCAUCGUUCUGUUAACACUGACUGGAUGGUUCAGGAAUCCUAUUUGUGAAUCCAGAUUCUAGGGUGUGUA
Molecule: long non-coding RNA, 234 nt
Organism: Calidris pugnax (ruff)
Lineage: Eukaryota; Metazoa; Chordata; Aves; Charadriiformes; Scolopacidae
Exons: 3
Source: RefSeq, a predicted model, not a curated record